CAGCCGCCGCGGUAAUACCGGCGGCCCGAGUGGCGGCCACUAUUAUUGGGCUUAAAGCGUCCGUAGCCGGGUUGGUUAGUCUCCCGGGAAAUCUGGCCGCUUAACGGUCAGAAUUCCGGGAGAUACUGCCAGCCUAGGGACCGGGAGAGGCCGAGGGUCUUCCCGGCGUAGGGGUGAAAUCCUAUAAUCCCGGGAGGACCACCUGGGGCGAAGGCGCUCGGCUGGAACGGGUCCGACGGGGAGGGACGAAGGCCAGGGGAGCAAACCGGAUUAGAUACCCGGGUAGUCCUGGCUGUAAACGAUGCGGACUUUGUGUCGGACAAGCUAUGAGCUUGUCCGGUGCCGGAGGGAAACCGUUAAGUCCGCCGCCUGGGGAGUACGGCCGCAAGGCUGAAACUUAAAGGAAUUGGCGGG
Molecule: ribosomal RNA, 414 nt
Filed under: uncultured microorganism
Description: bacterial SSU rRNA
Rfam family: Archaeal small subunit ribosomal RNA
Source: RNAcentral